AACAGACUCAGCUCCUGUGAAACUUAAUGAGUGAUGAGAACAAGUGAGGUAAAGGCAUGAUAUUCAUAUCCCAGUCAUCCUUGCCUCAUAACUUUCAAGUUACUUUGAAUGAAAGAAAUUAAAAUUCUUCCUGUCCACUGCAUGCCACCAUUACACCACAGACAUGUGUCCACUGCAGCCCAGUGCAUUGCUGGAUGCAACAAUUUGGAUGGUGAGGAUGUUUGGACAAAGGAGCCUGGGCUACCUGGUAAUCUCACAUUUAUGAGCUGCCCACAGAGCAAUCAUGUUGGAAGUGAAAAAAGAGGAAGAUACAUUUCGUUUCCUCCUCAUAUUUGUCUUCCCCUUAUCUUCAUCCAGAGAUGGUAUCUUUGGUCCUCUUGUCAGAAAAAUGUUUCAUACGUGAAGAAUUUCAACACAGUGAUCCAGCAGAUUAAACUCUCACACUUCUCUGUUCUUGGCCUGAAAGCUGAAAAUGAAUAAAGAAAAUGUGUAGUGAGGAGAAGCUUCUAGCAAAAGUAAUUCUCUUGGCUUCAAGAAUGAGGUUUGAGGUGAACAAAUCAACUUGGUGUUCCCAUAUGGGCCCAAGAGGAACUAGUUCAGAUGGGGACUGGGAGGCUCGGCAAUGCGAACUGCUCUGACUGCCAGCUCUGCAACUUUAAAGCCCCAGCAUGUGAGAGCUCACUGGAUAAAGAAGUCCUUCCCAUGACUCCAGCUGCUGGCUCUAUCACUUCUGGCUAAUGAGAGACAGAAGCAGAAGAGGAAGAAGACAAGUGGCAGGAGACGGCAGCAAAGGUGCCACAGAUAAGUAGGGGGGAAGGAUAAAAGGGGAGUGCUAGUCUGUUAGACACUUUUCCCAGCACAGUACCUGAGACCUGAGGCUCAACAGUCUGCUAUCAGCAAAUACCUGUGAAACCACUGAUAAAACUAGCCUGGUAGUCCUUUCAGGGGAUGGCUCAAACAGUUCACUAUUGCCAUCGAUUGCAUCAAGUCACCCACUGCCAGAGACAUGGAGCUUUUAUCCCUUCUGAGAUAGUCAGCAAAGACUAUUCUCAUGACAAUGACUUGGCCAUUUUCAGCUUUGCAUUGUUUAAAAAGGGAAAGUGAAGAAAUUAGACCAGUGUUAAAAUAACACUAAGAUUGCAUAGUCAAGCACCAAAGAGAAGGAACAUACCAGACACAGGCUAUGAAAUGUAUCUGUCUUUGGCCUUCUUGUACCUAUGUAGUAGGAUAUGGCUUCAAAAGAAGUGACUACAUACUCAUUUUCUCUGGGCACCCUGCUUCUCAUUCAGAGCAGAGAAUGGCCAUUACUUAAAACAUCAGAUGUGGUGAAUGUACAGCGUUGUAUAGGACUGCUUCAUCCAGACAUGGAAAAUAUGUCCUGGGUUAUGCAAGGGGCUGGACGAUGGCUUUAGUCUGUCGUUCUCAUAUUCCACCUCAGUACUGGCAUGAAUCACAAAUGCUUUCCAUUACAAUAGAAGUCAUAGGAAACUGCUUUUU
Molecule: long non-coding RNA, 1497 nt
Filed under: Coturnix japonica (Japanese quail)
Lineage: Eukaryota; Metazoa; Chordata; Aves; Galliformes; Phasianidae
Description: lncRNA (ENSCJPG00005005990.1)
Source: RNAcentral